ACAUGGCCGAGCUUUAAUUACUCUUAAUUACCCAAACCCAUCCUCCUAGGUCCAAAUCUGGGGCAGGUGCAUCCCACUGGGAGUAGGGAGCUCUGUGAUGGAGCUGCCCUUCCUGGGAAAGCCAUUUGGUCUGGAUUCCCUUGGGAUGGCUGCAGCAUAGCAUUAUCACCUUCAGCUAGGUCAAGUGGAGUGGGGUAAUGAUUAGAUUUAUCAUAAAGCAACCAAACGAGCAGCAAUACAGCCAAGUGCUUUCCAUUCAGUGACACAUCCAAAUCUUAUUUAAAAGCUCACAGCCUGACCCUGGGACUGUGCUCUGGCCAAAGGAAAUCAGCCUGAUAGUUCCCUGGAGAGAGCAGCCAUGGCUUUAAAGUGUCUUCUGAAAGCAUCUAUCUGGCCAGCUUAACCAAAACGCCAAAAACCCUGAGCUGGAGGGUUGGGUUAUGUGACCUUCUCACUCUCUUCUCCAUCUCUGCAGCUUGAAAAGCCUCAUCCUGGGAGUGUGCUGGGAUGGCUCAAUCCAGCAAGGAAAGCUCCAACAGCAUACCAAAUCUUCCCAGGCUGUGCUCUCAUAUCUGCAUCACCGGUACCCAAAGGGAGAAUUAACAUGCUGUGAAAGGGAAGCAACCUGCUUUAUUCCAAGUUCCUAGGGCAAGUCUCGUGCACAGAGAGGCUGUGGAAUCUUCUUCCAUGGAAUUGUCCAGGGCAGAUUGGACAGUGUUUGAGCAUGCCAGGACAGUGGAGGAUGUUCCUGCUUAUUGCAGGGGCGUGAGGUCUAAUGAGAAGAGACAGCAGAGGACUGACCAGUAUCUGCUCCCUGAUUUCCCUCUGUGCUGUCAGGAGAUCCAAGGCUGUUACUCCUGAGCAAGGACUUAAUGCAAUGUGACCUGAUGGCAGAGCUACAUCAUGGCCCUUCCUGAGGUGUGGAGAGUGGGGGGUGGGGGAGAAAUAAAGCAGCAGGAUAAAUCGGGAUUCAGGAAAAGAUGUGAACCUUGGCAGCAUUGCCAUGGUAACGGGGGACCUGCCAGUGCCUGCUGCAGCCUGGCACAGGCAGCAUGGCACUGUGGGCACUGUGGCACACUGUGAUCCAGGAUGGAGAGGGCUGGUGCCGUGAAGAGGCUGUGCUUUCCCUUCUGGAAGUCAGCAGAGGCCUUGGGAAGAUGUUCUGAAAGCUGGUGGCAGCGUGAGGAGGGACAUGAGAGUGUCCUGAGCAGGAUCCAGCCUCCCGUGCAUCCCCACAGUCGCAGUGCUGCUCCCAGCUCGGCUGCUGCUGGAUGGAGCACACAGGCCAUGAGGCAGGUUGGUUGUGCUGCUGGCAGCAGGGAUUCCUCUCUGGGAAAAAACACCCAGGCUCUGGCUGUGUGUGAAUUCCCCUAAAGAGUGAAACCCAGACCUUUGUACGUUGUUCAUCCCAAUCAAACACAUUCAGUGUCCUGCAGCCUCCUCUGGACCAGCACCCACAGCCUUCUCCCUGCUCACAGCAGCUCCUGAGCAUCCCAACCCCCUUUUCCCAGCUGCCUGCCUGCUCGGCUUUCCUUUGAAGGCAGGGCUAGGCACAGAAAAAGAAAACUCUGUCCCAGGGGGGCCACGCAGUGCCCCAGUUCCUGCCCUGCUGUGGCCAGGGUUUGGCUCCCACCCAGCUCCCAGGGCUUGCUCCAGCCUCUGAGUGCCUUCCUGUGGCCAAGCUGUGAGUCCAGCAGAGAGAGGGACAGAGGAACUGGCUCCCUUGGGGCAGCACCAGCGGCAUGGGACAUGCUUGGGUGGGGAUAUCUCUAGGAAUGGGGGCAGCGUGGGCAGCAGGGUUGGAUGGGAACGAGCUUGCUGCACCCUGAGCAAAGCUGGGAGCAGAGAUUGAUUAACGAGGCUGUGCUGUAAUUACUGCCGGCAUGUUUGCCCCCAGCCCUGCUGUGCUGUAGAGGGAGAACUUGUCCUUGCAGCCGCUGCCAUCCCUCCCUGUGCAGCCAUGUGAGAGGCAACCCAGACAAGAGGAGCUAAAAAUAAACCUGGGUAAAAAUAGUCCCACGUGUGCUUGCUUUUGAGGGGAAAUGAGGGGAAUUUUCAUCUGAAGGAAAAGGAAAAAAAUAAAAAAAGAAACUGAAA
Long non-coding RNA from Taeniopygia guttata (zebra finch), 2097 nucleotides. Lineage: Eukaryota; Metazoa; Chordata; Aves; Passeriformes; Estrildidae. The record is from Ensembl.